Hyalella azteca is the source of this 271-nucleotide long non-coding RNA. RefSeq lists it as uncharacterized. The record is from RefSeq and is a predicted model, not a curated record. The transcript is spliced from 2 exons. Lineage: Eukaryota; Metazoa; Arthropoda; Malacostraca; Amphipoda; Hyalellidae.
CUACUCCAUCACUUGACUGCUACCGCUCACAGUGACUACAUCAUAAUGGCCUCCUUCUUCAACCUGAGUCUGAUUGCACUCGCCGUAAUGAUGAUGGCUGCUGGCGCUAUUGCUGAACCAAAACCAUUCCCAGAGCCUGGCAAGGGCAAAGGAAAAGGCAAAGGACACUAAAUAAAAGGACGGCAGCAUUGGCUCGAACUUCUGCGAUGGAAACUAUAAUCACAGAUUAAUUUUAGAAAAUCUGAAUCAAUGAAUAAAACGUACAAUGAGA